This is a regulatory RNA element of Bacillus anthracis str. 'Ames Ancestor', 225 nucleotides long. It matches the Rfam family "T-box leader". Rfam says of the family: Uncharged tRNA acts as the effector for transcription antitermination of genes in the T-box leader family. T-boxes are found upstream of many aminoacyl-tRNA synthetase genes and some amino acid biosynthetic genes usually in Gram-positive bacteria. The record is from Rfam. Lineage: Bacteria; Bacillati; Bacillota; Bacilli; Caryophanales; Bacillaceae.
AGAAAAACGAAGAUAGGGAUAAGUACCUUUUUCAUACCUUAUAUAGCGAACUGAGGAUGGUGUAAGCUCAGGAUAAGGAGAUAAUGGGAAUAUCACCCUGGAGUUCCGCGCUGAACAAAUAGAGUAAGCGUAGGCGUAUAUUCGCGUUAAGAAUAUAAAGAGGGUUGUAUACAUACGUAUAGGAUCUACUAGGGUGGUACCGCGGGAGACUUUCUCGUCCCUUUU